CUACGUGCCAGCAGCCGCGGUAAUACGGAAGGUCCAGGCGUUAUCCGGAUUUAUUGGGUUUAAAGGGAGCGUAGGCGGAUUGUUAAGUCAGCGGUUAAAGGGUGUGGCUCAACCAUACAUUGCCGUUGAAACUGGCGAUCUUGAGUGCAGACAGGGAUGCCGGAAUUCGUGGUGUAGCGGUGAAAUGCUUAGAUAUCACGAAGAACUCCGAUCGCGAAGGCAGGUGUCCGGGCUGCAACUGACGCUGAGGCUCGAAAGUGUGGGUAUCAAACAGGAUUAGAUACCCUGGUAGUCCACACAGUAAACGAUGUAUACUCGCGGUUUGCGAUAGACAGUAAGCCGCCAAGCGAAAGCAUUAAGUAUACCACCUGGGGAGUACGCCGGCAACGGUGAAACUCAAAGGAAUUGACGGGGGCCCGCACAAGCGGAGGAACAUGUGGUUUAAUUCGAUGAUACGCGAGGAACCUUACCCGGGAUUGAA
This 481-nucleotide ribosomal RNA is filed under the name uncultured bacterium. RNAcentral describes it as "bacterial SSU rRNA". It matches the Rfam family "Bacterial small subunit ribosomal RNA", at positions 501 to 985 of the family's 1533-position model. The record is from RNAcentral.